Lingula anatina is the source of this 488-nucleotide long non-coding RNA. RefSeq lists it as uncharacterized. The record is from RefSeq and is a predicted model, not a curated record. NCBI's taxonomy places the organism in Eukaryota, Metazoa, Brachiopoda, Lingulata, Lingulida, Lingulidae.
CGCUAUUUUGAUACCUAAUCAGGUGAGUAAGGCGCUAUAAGAGUGUCGGUCUCUGUUGCCCGCGGUCAUCUUGUUGCUUCGCUUGCUGUGACUCGGGAUAUACAAGAAGAAAACAACACAAUGAAGGCUGCAGCAAUCUUCUUACUUGUACUUGUGACUCAAAUGUUCUGUGGAACUGUAAUUAACGCAAUUGAAGAUAAGGGUACUUGCACCGGGGACUUGAUAUGGAGUGGCUGUAAUUCCGCGUGUCCAAGCAUCUGCGGGGAACCACAAGCCAUGUUCUGCACCAUGCAGUGUAUCAUAGGAUGCGGCUGUCCUUAUGGCAAAAUCCGGGUCUCUCGGAAGAGCGACAAAUGCGUUGACAGCAGAAAGGAUUGCCCUUAAAGUCUAAAGGAUAUUCUUUUUCAAAAUGGUUCCAUUUUCUGAAAGCACAUUUGAUAAUGUAUAUGUCGCCAUAUAAAAUGCAAAUAAAAUCCAUGUCGAAUUUA